AUGCAGCUUGGAUCUCUCAUCCUCACGGCCUUCCUGGGGCAACUGCUGGGCACCAUGGGACAGACCACUGUCACCCAGCAAGAAGCACAAGUCACAGUGAAGCAGGGAGACACCUUCCAGACAACCUGCACAUACCAGACUUCCAGCUUUUAUGCUUUGCUUUGGUACCAGCAGAGGAAAGGCCAAGGUCCCCAGCUGGUCUCCUAUCAGGUAGCAGCUGGCCGCAAGCCCAGUGGCCGUCUCACCACCGUGCUGAACACCACCGAGAAAUACAGCCUCCUGCAGCUGGAGGAAGUCGGGCUCUCUGACAGUGCCUUGUACCUCUGUGCUGUGCAAGACACAGUGGAAACAGAUCUUGUCAUCGUUUCUACUGUCAACAACUACGACCCUGCCAGAAGUGUAUUGUACACGAACAAGUAUCAGCAGCUUUCACGUCCUUAUUUCUUGGAGUUCUGUGAGUACAUCAAAGACACCAUGGGCAUGCCAGGGGCCUUGUACUACCCCAGAAUGCCCUAG
Non-coding RNA from Chroicocephalus ridibundus (black-headed gull), 516 nucleotides. Lineage: Eukaryota; Metazoa; Chordata; Aves; Charadriiformes; Laridae. The record is from the annotation of a RefSeq genome assembly.